UUUUCAAACCUUGACCUCAAAUCAGGCGGGACUACCCGCUGAACUUAAGCAUAUCAAUAAGCGGAGGAAAAGAAACUAACAAGGAUUCCCCUAGUAACUGCGAGUGAAGCGGGAAGAGCUCAAAUUUAAAAUCUGGCGGCUUCGUCGUCCGAGUUGUAAUUUAGAGAAGCGUUUUCCGCGCCGGACCGUGUACAAGUCUCCUGGAACGGAGCGUCAUAGAGGGUGAGAAUCCCGUCUUUGACACGGACGACCGGUGCUAUGUGAUACGCUCUCGAAGAGUCGAGUUGUUUGGGAAUGCAGCUCAAAAUGGGUGGUGAACUCCAUCUAAAGCUAAAUAUUGGCGAGAGACCGAUAGCGAACAAGUACCGUGAGGGAAAGAUGAAAAGCACUUUGGAAAGAGAGUGAAACAGUACGUGAAAUUGCUGAAAGGGAAACGCUUGAAGUCAGUCGCGUCCUUCGGGAUUCAGCCCUCGUGGUGUACUUUCCGUCGGACGGGCCAGCAUCACUUUUGGUCGCCGGAAAAAGGCGAGGGGAAUGUGGCACCUUCGGGUGUGUUAUAGCCCCUUGUCGGAUACGGCGGUCGGGAGUGAGGACCGCCUAUUAUUGUAGGAUGCUGGCGUAAUGGCUUUAAACGACCCGUCUUGAAACACGGACCAAGGAGUCUAACAUGCCCGCGAGUGUUCGGGUGGUAAACCCGUGCGCGUAAUGAAAGUGAAAGUUGGGAAGGCUGUCGUGGCCUGCACCGACGCCCGGACCUGAGGCUUGCCGACGGUUCUGCGGUAGAGCGUGUAUGUUGGGACCCGAAAGAUGGUGAACUAUGCCUGA
RNAcentral lists this ribosomal RNA (825 nucleotides) under Vararia sigmatospora. Its description in RNAcentral is "eukaryotic LSU rRNA". It matches the Rfam family "Eukaryotic large subunit ribosomal RNA", at positions 1 to 840 of the family's 3401-position model. The record is from RNAcentral. Lineage: Eukaryota; Fungi; Basidiomycota; Agaricomycetes; Russulales; Lachnocladiaceae.